This 168-nucleotide unclassified non-coding RNA is filed under the name uncultured Ascomycota. RNAcentral's name for it is "sequence contains ITS1". The record is from RNAcentral. Lineage: Eukaryota; Fungi; Ascomycota.
AAGAGUUGUAAGAAAAACUCCCUAAACCACCUGUGAAUUUACCUGUUUUCGUUGCUUCGGCAGGCGGCCCCAGGGCGGGGCCAUGGCCUGUAAAGGUGCCUGCCGGAGGGUACAAAAGCCCUAUUUGUUUUAGCAGCCGUCUGAGUCAGAAAAACAAAAAAUAAGUCA